CUAGAAUUUUUUAUUAUUAUUUUCUCUUAUAAUCUUUGCUCGUUGUUUUCUUACUUUACAAUCUUUAGGAUCUUUUAUCAAGAAACUCCGACACUAAGAGAUAAAGAGUUCAAUGAUUUGCUUCUUGAUUUGUAAAGAGGAGUUGCCUCUAUUUAUAUCUAGAAUGGUUAAAUAUUGCUUCCUAAGACAACUAAUCUUCCUAUUUCUCUGUUUUCUAAACAAAUAUUAAUAUAUUCGUUAAAACUUUCUAAUGAACAAGUAAAGCAGUGUAAUCUAAAGGCAUAAAAUAUUAGAACUAUAAAAUGAUAUGUUUGUAAUAGCCUUUGAGUACUUUACCGUUUAGCAAAUUAAUUUUUUCUGGCCAUUUUUUUUUAACUCUUUCUUAGCUUUUUUCUUAACUUUUUAAAGAAGGUUUAAGACUGUAGCCAAAAAGAUUUUCAUCAUAUUUAAAAUACUUUAACAAACUCCCACAAUUGAGACACAAAUUAGCCAACUUAACUCAGAGAAUUAACU
RNAcentral lists this long non-coding RNA (513 nucleotides) under Olea europaea subsp. europaea. The record is from RNAcentral. Lineage: Eukaryota; Viridiplantae; Streptophyta; Magnoliopsida; Lamiales; Oleaceae.